Molecule: ribosomal RNA, 253 nt
Filed under: uncultured bacterium
Lineage: Bacteria
Description: partial 16S ribosomal RNA
Rfam family: Bacterial small subunit ribosomal RNA
Source: RNAcentral
UACGUAGGGACCAAGCGUUGUUCGGAUUUACUGGGCGUAACGGGCGCGUAGGCGGCGUGACAAGUCAAUUGUGAAAUCUCCGGGCUUAACUCGGAACGGUCAAUUGAUACUGUUGUGCUAGAGUACAGAAGGGGCAAUCGGAAUUCUUGGUGUAGCGGUGAAAUGCGUAGAUAUCGAGAGGAACACCAAUGGCGAAGGCAGCUAUCUGGAGCGUAACUGACACUCAUGAGCGAAAGUGCGGGGAGCAAACAGG